UGAACGCUGGCGGAAUGCUUUACACAUGCAAGUCGAGCGGCAGCGCGGGGCAACCUGGCGGCGAGCGGCGAACGGGUGAGUAAUGCAUCGGAACAUGUCCAUGUCGUGGGGGAUAGCCCGGCGAAAGCCGGAUUAAUACCGCAUGUGCCCUUCGGGGGAAAGCGGGGGACCGCAAGGCCUCGCGCGAUUGGGUUGGCCGAUGUCCGAUUAGCUAGUUGGUGGGGUAAAGGCCCACCAAGGCGAUGAUCGGUAGCUGGUCUGAGAGGAUGAUCAGCCACACUGGGACUGAGACACGGCCCAGACUCCUACGGGAGGCAGCAGUGGGGAAUUUUGGACAAUGGGGGAAACCCUGAUCCAGCCAUUCCGCGUGAGUGAAGAAGGCCUUCGGGUUGUAAAGCUCUUUUGUCCGGAACGAAACGGUGGACGUGAAUAUCGUCCGCUACUGACGGUAUCGGAAGAAUAAGCACCGGCUAACUACGUGCCAGCAGCCGCGGUAAUACGUAGGGUGCGAGCGUUAAUCGGAAUUACUGGGCGUAAAGCGUGCGCAGGCGGUUUUGCAAGCCGGAUGUGAAAUGCCCGGGCUCAACCUGGGAAUGGCAUUCGGGACUGCAAGGCUGGAGUGCGGCAGAGGAGACUGGAAUUCCUGGUGUAGCAGUGAAAUGCGUAGAUAUCAGGAGGAAUACCGAUGGCGAA
RNAcentral lists this ribosomal RNA (693 nucleotides) under uncultured beta proteobacterium. Its description in RNAcentral is "bacterial SSU rRNA". It matches the Rfam family "Bacterial small subunit ribosomal RNA", at positions 30 to 719 of the family's 1533-position model. The record is from RNAcentral. Lineage: Bacteria; Pseudomonadati; Pseudomonadota; Betaproteobacteria.